This 403-nucleotide ribosomal RNA is filed under the name uncultured bacterium. Its description in RNAcentral is "partial 16S ribosomal RNA". It matches the Rfam family "Bacterial small subunit ribosomal RNA", at positions 29 to 526 of the family's 1533-position model. The record is from RNAcentral.
AUUGAACGCUGGCGGCAGGCCUAACACAUGCAAGUCGAGCGAGCGGCGGACGGGUGAGUAAUGUAUGGGGACUGCCCGAUAGAGGGGGAUAACUACUGGAAACGGUAGCUAAUACCGAAUACUAUCGGAUAACCCAUAUGGGAUGAGAUAGUAGGUGAGGUAAUGGCUAACCUAGGCGACGAUCCCUAGCUGGUCUGAGAGGAUGACCAGGCACACGGGGAAUGAGACACGGCCCAGACUCCUAGGGAGGCAGCAGUGGGGAAUAUUGCGCAAUGGGCGCAAGCCUGAUGCAGCCAGGCCGCGUGUAUGAAGAAGGCCCUAGGGUUGUAAAGUACUUUCAGUCGGGAGGCGUUACCGACAGAAGAAGCACCGGCUAACUCCGUGCCAGCAGCCGCGGUAAUUC